RNAcentral lists this ribosomal RNA (815 nucleotides) under uncultured bacterium. RNAcentral's name for it is "bacterial SSU rRNA". It matches the Rfam family "Bacterial small subunit ribosomal RNA", at positions 8 to 796 of the family's 1533-position model. The record is from RNAcentral.
AGAGUUUGAUCAUGGCUCAGAACGAACGCUGGCGGAGUGCUUAAGACAUGCAAGUCGAACGAGAAAGCCGACUUCGGUUGGUAAGUAAAGUGGCGCACGGGUGAGUAACGCGUGGGUAAUCUGCCUUCGAGUCUGGGACAACCCCCGGGAAACUGGAGCUAAUACCGGAUGAGACUACAGGGCCUUCGGGUCUGGUGGGAAAAGAUGGCCUCUUCAUGAAAGCUAUCGCUCGGAGAUGAGCCCGCGUCGCAUUAGUUUGUUGGUGAGGUAACGGCUCACCAAGACGAAGAUGCGUAGCUGGUCUGAGAGGAUGACCAGCCACACUGGAACUGAGACACGGUCCAGACUCCUACGGGAGGCAGCAGUCGGGAAUAUUGGACAAUGGGCGCAAGCCUGAUCCAGCAACUCCGCGUGAGGGAUGAAGGCCUUCGGGUCGUAAACCUCUGUCAGAAGGGAAGAACUCCCUUGGCUCAAACAGGGUCGAGGGCUGACGGUACCUUCAAAGGAAGCACCGGCUAACUCCGUGCCAGCAGCCGCGGUAAUACGGAGGGUGCAAGCGUUGUUCGGAAUUAUUGGGCGUAAAGCGGGUGUAGGCGGCCAUGCAAGUCAGAUGUGAAAUCCCUGGGCCCAACCCAGGAACUGCAUUUGAUACUGCACGGCUAGAGUCCCGGAGAGGGUGGCGGAAUUCCAGGUGUAGAGGUGAAAUUCGUAGAUAUCUGGAGGAACACCAGUGGCGAAGGCGGCCACCUGGACGGUGACUGACGCUCAGACCCGAAAGCGUGGGGAGCAAACAGGAUUAGAUACCCUAGUAGUCC